Molecule: long non-coding RNA, 1104 nt
Filed under: Androctonus crassicauda
Lineage: Eukaryota; Metazoa; Arthropoda; Arachnida; Scorpiones; Buthidae
Source: RNAcentral
AAUAUAAAGUGUAAGAUGAAAUAAUUUAGAAGAAAUACAAGGAAUCCACGGGCACUUUAAGCAGGAGGAAUGCACUAUUUUAUUAUUAGACAUAUAAUACAUAUACUAAUGGUAACCUCUGAUAAUGUUUUCGGUCUUCUAUAACCCUCCUCAUCCGGUUCUCUCAAAUGAGACACUCAUUUGAAAGAACUGGCUGAGGGCGAUAGAAGGCCGAAAAUGUUACCAGAGGUUGUUAUUGGUAUAUCUACUAUAAUUCUAAUAAUAAAAUGGAGUGUUUUUCCUGCUUAAAGUGCUUGUGAUUCCUUGUAUUCCUAGAAGCAACAGAACUUAUUAGUUUAUGAUUAUGAUUAAAAUUUCUGAUUUAAUCCUAUAAUGCUGAUUUUUUUAUAUUUAUUCUGUAUAGUCUGUCAAGAUUAUUGUUCAUUUAAGACCAAUUCUUGUUUUGUUUUUCUUUGGAAAACUGUCAAGACCUCAGUUAUUAAUCAUUUCCUUAGUCUUAUAUCAUCCAGUGAGCCUGUUUUCUUCUCAGUCUAUCAAUGUCAUAUUGAUAAGUCUUUUUCAAAACAGCAAUUGUUAAUAAUUUAUUGUCAGUGUCACUUAGAUGCUCUUUAAUAUGAAUAGAAAGAAAUAUUAGAAGAUGAGGAUGAGAAUGUUAUGUAUGCAUGUAUUUUUUCCUCUAAUGAUGAGGAUGAGGAUGUUAUGUAUGGUUAGUUAAAAUGGUAGGUGGUAUUUUUCAAGUAAUAUAUGAUUUUUCAUCUACAUGAAGUGCAAGCCAACAUAGUUGGUCAGGGUCUCUUUAUGAAAGAACAUUGAUUUUCAGAUCAUUACUGAGAAUUGUCCAUGUCCUAAGAUACAUCACACACUCAAUCCAGAAAUGGAAUAUUGUCUAUAUUGUCUCUGGUUGGCCAGUGUGGACACUCUGGUGACUGGGUCAGCUUUCAUGAAUCUAAGGAAGAGUUUGCUGGGGUAAUAUUAAUUUGAAUGUGGAGAAGUAACACUUCCAUUUUUCAAGAUUAACAAUUGCCUGUUGAAUCCAUAAUAAAACUUAACACUGCUUUGUUACUACGAUAAUGUUAAUUAGGUAAGGCAACCACUAAGCAAUCG